CCCUUGUGCCAGCAGCCGCGGUAAUUCCAGCUCCAAUAGCGUAUAUUAAAGUUGUUGUGGUUAAAAAGCUCGUAGUUGGAUCUCAACAGCCUUGAAGCGGUUAACUUUGUAGUUUUACUGCUUUAUAGGCUGUGCUUUUGCUGGAGGUUUAGGGGUGCUCUUGAUCGAGUGUCUCUGGAUGCCAGCAGGUUUACUUUGAAAAAAUUAGAGUGCUCAAAGCAGGCUAAAAUGCCUGAAUAUUCGUGCAUGGAAUAAUAGAAUAGGAUGUCGAUCCUAUUUUGUUGGUUUUCGGGACUCGACAUAAUGAUAAAUAGGGACAGUCGGGGGCAUUUGUAUUCAAACGACAGAGGUGAAAUUCUUGGACCGUUUGAAGACAAACUACUGCGAAAGCAUUUGCCAAGAAUGUUUUCAUUAAUCAAGAACGAAAGUUAGAGGUUCGAAGGCGAUUAGAUACCGCCCUAGUUCUAACCAUAAACGAUGCCAGCUAGCGAUCUGCCUGCGUUUUUUUUGUAGACUGGGCAGGAAGCUUCCGGGAAACCAAAGCAUUUGGGUUCCAGGGGAAGUAUGGUUGCAAAGCUGAAACUUAAAGGAAUUGACGGAAGGGCACCACCAGGAGUGGAGCCUGUGGCUUAAUUUGACUCAACACGGGAAAUCUCACCAGGCCCGGACACUGGAAGGAUUGACAGAUUGAUAGCUCUUUCUUGAUUCGGUGGGUGGUGGUGCAUGGCCGUUCUUAGUUGGUGGAGUGAUUUGUCUGGUUAAUUCCGAUAACGAACGAGACUCUGUCCUGCUAAAUAGUGUCUGCUUCUCUUUUGAGCAGACAAUUCUUCUUAGAGGGACUGGCGACUCUUAGUCGCACGAGAUUGAGCAAUAACAGGUCUGUGAUGC
Molecule: ribosomal RNA, 888 nt
Filed under: uncultured eukaryote
Lineage: Eukaryota
Description: SSU rRNA
Rfam family: Eukaryotic small subunit ribosomal RNA
Source: RNAcentral